UGGGGAAUUUUGGACAAUGGGGGCAACCCUGAUCCAGCAAUGCCGCGUGUGUGAAGAAGGCCUUCGGGUUGUAAAGCACUUUUGUCCGGGAGGAAAUCGCACCUGAUAAUACCGGGUGUGGAUGACGGUACCGGAAGAAUAAGGACCGGCUAACUACGUGCCAGCAGCUGCGGUAAUACGUAGGGUCCAAGCGUUAAUCGGAAUUACUGGGCGUAAAGCGUGCGCAGGCGGUUGUGCAAGACCGAUGUGAAAUCCCCGGGCUUAACCUGGGAAUUGCAUUGGUGACUGCACGGCUAGAGUGUGUCAGAGGGGGGUAGAAUUCCACGUGUAGCAGUGAAAUGCGUAGAGAUGUGGAGGAAUACCGAUGGCGAAGGCAGCCCCCUGGGAUAACACUGACGCUCAUGCACGAAAGCGUGGGGAGCAAACAGG
RNAcentral lists this ribosomal RNA (429 nucleotides) under Acidobacteriota bacterium. Its description in RNAcentral is "Acidobacteria bacterium partial 16S ribosomal RNA". It matches the Rfam family "Bacterial small subunit ribosomal RNA", at positions 355 to 776 of the family's 1533-position model. The record is from RNAcentral. Lineage: Bacteria; Pseudomonadati; Acidobacteriota.